Non-coding RNA from Yarrowia sp. E02, 77 nucleotides. The record is from the annotation of a GenBank genome assembly. Lineage: Eukaryota; Fungi; Ascomycota; Dipodascomycetes; Dipodascales.
GGUCCAGUGGUGUAAUGGUUAUCACGUCUCGCUCACAUUUUCCGAGGAGGCUCGGAGUUCGAUCCUCCGCUGGAUCA